UACGGAGGGGGCUAGCGUUGUUCGGAAUUACUGGGCGUAAAGCGCACGUAGGCGGCUUUGUAAGUUAGAGGUGAAAGCCUGGAGCUCAACUCCAGAAUUGCCUUUAAGACUGCAUCGCUUGAACGUCGGAGAGGUGAGUGGAAUUCCGAGUGUAGAGGUGAAAUUCGUAGAUAUUCGGAAGAACACCAGUGGCGAAGGCGGCUCACUGGACGACUGUUGACGCUGAGGUGCGAAAGCGUGGGGAGCGAACAGG
This 253-nucleotide ribosomal RNA is filed under the name uncultured bacterium. RNAcentral describes it as "partial 16S ribosomal RNA". It matches the Rfam family "Bacterial small subunit ribosomal RNA", at positions 524 to 776 of the family's 1533-position model. The record is from RNAcentral.